UACGUAGGGGGCGAGCGUUGUCCGGAUUUAUUGGGCGUAAAGAGCUCGUAGGCGGUUCGAUAAGUCGGAUGUGAAAUCUCCACGCUCAACGUGGAGGGGCCAUUCGAUACUGUCGUGACUCGAGUCCGGUAGGGGAGUGUGGAAUUCCCGGUGUAGCGGUGAAAUGCGCAGAGAUCGGGAGGAACACCGGUGGCGAAGGCGGCAUCCUGGACCGGCAUUGACGCUGAGGCGCGAAAGCCAGGGGAGCAAACGGG
Molecule: ribosomal RNA, 254 nt
Filed under: uncultured bacterium
Lineage: Bacteria
Description: partial 16S ribosomal RNA
Rfam family: Bacterial small subunit ribosomal RNA
Source: RNAcentral